Molecule: ribosomal RNA, 445 nt
Filed under: uncultured bacterium
Lineage: Bacteria
Description: partial 16S ribosomal RNA
Rfam family: Bacterial small subunit ribosomal RNA
Source: RNAcentral
GUGAGGAAUAUUGCGCAAUGGAGGCAACUCUGACGCAGCCAUGCCGCGUGCAGGAAGAAGGCGCUACGCGUUGUAAACUGCUUUUAACCGGGAAGAAACCCCAGGACGUGUCCUGGGUUGACGGUACCGGAGGAAUAAGCACCGGCUAACUUCGUGCCAGCAGCCGCGGUAAUACGAAGGGUGCAAGCGUUAUCCGGAUUCAUUGGGUUUAAAGGGUGCGUAGGCGGAGCGUUAAGUCAGUGGUGAAAUCCUGCAGCUUAACUGUAGACUUGCCAUUGAUACUGGCGCUCUUGAGUGCACUUGAAGUGGGCGGAAUGUGCCGUGUAGCGGUGAAAUGCUUAGAUAUGGCACAGAACACCAAUUGCGAAGGCAGCUCACUAAGGCGAUACUGACGCUGAGGCACGAAAGCGUGGGGAUCGAACAGGAUUAGAUACCCUUGUAGUCC